CCUUGCCUCUGGCAGCUACUCUGUCCAGCUCCACUGCCCUCAGCAGGGAGUGGGCGGCUGUGGGGCUUCUUUGUGUAUCUCUCUUCUGUGUUGGCUUCAUGAAGUGGCUGUUUCACGUGAAUGAAGUUAACUUCUCCACCACUGGAGAAUGGGAAGAAAACACGUGGCCAGAAAUAACUCGGAUGGGAGCUGGAAACAAGUCACCUGAUGAUGAGGUUGCCUGGUUUUCUACCCACUUACAGGUCAGUCAUUUGAUGGGUCCACUUACUGAGACCAGGCGAUAUGCUCACAGACCAAAACAGACAGGAUGGUAUGAAGCCGAGUCAGUGCCAGAGGUAGAGUCCAUCUGAGACGCAUGCGGCUGCUAAUGGUAAAGCAUAGCACACCACUUACAAUUCAUUUCUCUAACGAAGCAUCACCGAAAGUAGCACACCCUAUGAGAACGGUGAAAAGUAUAGCCCACGUCUGCACUGGAAGCUCAUUCAUUUCAAGGAUCUAUGAUACCGCCAGCUCUCGUCUCACUGAUCGUCUGGGUCCUCCUAUCCUGUGUGUUGUCUGCAAUCGACACCAUUAUGUGGCAUGUGACUAUACACGAGCUAAUAGGUAAUGCUUCUGGUCUGGAUGGUUUGUAAAGGACCUAAUAAAAAGAGAAGCAAAACCUCAAUUGGAGGAUGAGGCAUAGAGGAUGUAUCUAUGAGACAGCUCAUGGCACAUGAAGACAUUCUGACCACAGAGAAACAGAAUGGACAGGCCACUGACACUGACCAACCUCUGGUAUUUGUUAACACAGCACCGGGGCAGUGAAACCAUGAUUAGUCAUAGGAAUGGGUUUAUAUAAUGCAUAGGCCCCAGGGCAAGGGCUCCUGCCCACAAAGAUUGAUGUAGCUGAUGCUGCAGCAGGCUAGCAACAGAGGCUAAUGCUGAGUUCUGCUGUGGGACCAUCCAUCCAGGCACAUAACCAGCAAUUGUGGAAACUGUACAUCUGAUUAAUGCCUACAGGUUCUACCCCCAAAAUGGCAGUGAUUCAUUUAAACUGGAACAAACACUUUCCAGGUGGGAGUUUGAUAUUUUUGGCUCCAGGACCUCAGCUAGCACCAUUUUCUGAGAUAGCAUAGAGUGCUUGUCAUCAGCACAGUGUUCCACUUCCCAUCAUUGUAGAAUACCAGGCACACUGCAGCAAAUGAGGUGAAUCGCUGGGUUGUGCUCCUGGGAUCCAUGAGUCAUCAAGUAUCUGUUUCCCUAGAGGUUCCCAGCAAGAGUGUAGUUGAUGGCCUGCAGAAGGUAUAGUUGAACUACUAGUUUGGAGAGAAUGCCUUAUUAAUAUGCAAUCAAUCUUUGAGAAUCAAUACAUACCUGCAAAGUCAUGACAGUAAUGUUGUAUCCCUGGUAGGUAAAAUCCA
Molecule: long non-coding RNA, 1400 nt
Organism: Mus musculus (house mouse)
Lineage: Eukaryota; Metazoa; Chordata; Mammalia; Rodentia; Muridae
Product: predicted gene, 38913
Exons: 3
Source: RefSeq, a predicted model, not a curated record